CAGAACCAACUUUUAGCUAUAAGAAAUAUUUCGGCAGCAAAAUGGUUAAUAGUAUUAUAGCUUCAAAAGAGCCUAUUGGCUCACCCUCAAGGAUGCCCUGCAGUUGUUGUUAAAGUCAUCAGAUGAAGCUAGCCUUCUCAGCUAGCCUUUAGAUUUGUCUGCUAACAGUAAAAAUAGUAUAAUAAAUCGGUAGCAUAUGUUGCCAGGCAAGGAAAAGUGAUAUAAAUAAAGAGACUAGGAGACCCAAACCAAGUACAAUGUGAAAAGAAUUUAACUUUCAAUCUAUUCGUUGGCUAAUUACCAUUUGAAAAGUAAUUUGAAAGUGUUACUGUUAUUUGCUUAUAUUCGUCCUCAUUUUUCUUUUUUUCUCUUCAGAUUGCAUUCUUACCCAAAUACUCUUCGUGAUUGCCUGUUUUGCGGCUUUGGGAUUCUUCGGGGAGUGGAGAGCAUUCACAUGAAUUGACAUCCCAAUGUUCUCAUAAUGUUUUAUCUUUAGGCUAAUAGAAAACUGAUUUUUUUUGGGCCGGCCGAGUGGCGCGAUGGUUAAGAACUCGCUUGGGAUGCCAGAGGGCCCCGG
This is a long non-coding RNA of Hipposideros armiger (great roundleaf bat), 577 nucleotides long. RefSeq lists it as uncharacterized. NCBI's taxonomy places the organism in Eukaryota, Metazoa, Chordata, Mammalia, Chiroptera, Hipposideridae. The transcript is spliced from 3 exons. The record is from RefSeq and is a predicted model, not a curated record.